AAUGGAAAAAAAAAAGAGGGAGGUCGGAUGAAGUCAACUGAAACACUUUGAUUUACAGAGUCAGCCUGGAAUCCUUCAUCCAUCCCAUCAUGCACCUCUGUUAAAAACAUUUCAAACAUACAGGAUAUGUUUCUCCUGGAUUAAGAGUCAUGAAGUACAGUACAGUGCAGGAGCCUGUGCCAUGAAACCACACAGCUCUUUGGGUCUAUAAUCAUAAAAGGAGCACUUCCCAUGAUUCCUGUGAGACUGGAGAGAGUGCUGGUUAAUGGAGGAGGCUUUUUUGGGGGGGAGAUUCCGAAUCUGAUUGGUCAAAAUCCCAUCAUAUCACAAGCCAAUUAAUCUCUAAUAUAACCACUCUGAACACAGAGGUAGAAAUCUCAGGAUGGUAAACUGAUGCUUGUGUUAUUUGUUUUAGGUGAAGAACAGACACGCAGAUGUAUGAUGCUGAGCCUGAGAGCACACGGACGAGCUGUACAUCAGCUGCCAUUAGCUGAUAAGAUAAGUGACGGACAGAAAAAUGAAGUGUUCAGUCCGGAGCUGAGCAGAGCAUAUAAGGGCAGCAGUGUGCAUCCUGGCAGACUCCACUGGAGACCAGAAAUCAAUACUAAGCUUUAUACUUCCUCCAUCUAUCCGUCCACCUCUCCCACCAUCUAUCUACUGCUGUCCUCUGCUUUUUCUCUCAGUUCUUCAUUAGCUGACAAAGUCCACGGGCGAGGCAGCUUCAUGCUUUUCUUUAUGUUCUUCUUUCUUUACUUAAUUACUACCUUAUUACAUGAAACUUCUUCAGUACUUAGAAAACCUCACAAAGUAGAUUAAUCACUGGUUUGUGAACACAUUUUGGAUGGGCCUAUUUGGCCUGAUGAUCACAUAAUUGCAACAGUUUAAAGCUUCAACAGUAAACAGGCUACAUGUGCUGCAGAUGACAGCAGACUCCAUGUUUGCUCGAACGUUUGCUCAAUUUUAUUUUAAAAACUUCACAAGUGAGCAAAGCUAAACUUUAUCAAAUGAGCAACACCACAAAAAACUCACAAAAAAUGAAAUGCAGCUUUAUGCAAGAAUACAACAUUAUAUUUUUGUGCAUACUUCAAAGUGAGGCCAGCUGUGUGUGCUGCAAAUGAGAUGCCGGCUGGAGCUGGAGAGACAUGCAUGUUUUGAGACUUGCAGGAUCCAUUUGAGGGAAACACUUCUGGUUCGUUGUGGCUGAGAGGCUGAUAUACAAUUAGUUAGGGCUUUGGUUAUUUACAGUAAGUCACAGAGCUAAUGGUUCACUGUGACAUGAACCAGGCCUGUCUGCCAUUACACGUAUUAGCAUGUAGUCACUCAAAUAAUUAGCAAACUAAGUACACAUGAAUAAUUAAAUACACAAAUUCCUUCAUUUUAAACAGAAAUGGUGAAACUGGUUUCUCAGAACACACUCACAUUAAACAGCUUUAACGUUCAAACCACUGAGCUGAAUCUCAGCAUGAUGCAAACAACCACCACCAAGAAAUAAAUAUGAGUCUUUAAACGGCGCUUCGAAGAGGUGAUAGCACUUAACUGAUGUACUGUAUUUAUAUAUGUUGACAUAUACUGAGUGUACUGCUGAAAUUAUUUGUCAUGCAGUGAAAACUGGAAAACAUCAUCAAAGCUACAAAAUGCUUUACUGACAUUCAAAUAUGCAACAAUUCAAUCUUUUCACUAGUCAUUUCUUAUUUAUAUUAUAAAGUACUGACAUGAAAUCCUCAUGUAGGCACAUCAUGACUCAUUUUUCAUAUCUAAAUGUUUAUUAAUUAUAAUUAGUUGAUUUAGCAAAAUGGUGUUAAAGAGUGUGCCAGCUGCUCGAAUGAAGGACCUGUGGUAGCUCUCCUUCUUACAUGGUGGGAGUAGCAGUCACAUGACCUAUUUAUGAAAAUCCUCUUUGAGUGUGUUAUUCAUCAUCAGUUCUUGAUUUGAGCAUUAAAAAUGCGCUGAUGUAAUCUGUAAUCUGAUGUAACACUGUCACCCUCUUUUAGUUUCAGUGGAAAUGAGGGCAUAAAGUGAAUCAAUAAAAGAUCUUUGAAAUGAUGAUCACACCUGCAUCAUGUUCAGGUCAAGCACACUGUCCUGCUUUUGUUUACAUUGACAUGUUACUCAUUAACCGGACGUGGUGUCCGCAGUGAUCAUGUUCAACAGUCCUGAUCAAUAACAUUAGAGCCAGCCAGCCAGCCAGCCAGCCAGUCAGCCAGACAGACAGCCAAACAGACAGCCAGAGUGUGAACAUGGAAUUUAACAGCACAGCAUUUUUUCUUUCAUCACUUUUUUUUCUCCAUAUUUCAGCACGACCGGUGUUUAACAUUUUAAUCAGUUGCAAUGAUGGGAAGGUAGGCGCUGAAAACAAGUACAAUGUCAAAGGUGAUACUGGAAAAAAUGUUUCUGUGGGUAACAUCACCAACAUUCAUGUUUCUGGAACAAACCAAGGAUGCAUUGGAGGAAAAAACAACUACACUGUGACAGCAGGACGAAUCCCAGCAAAGUCCAAUGUUGGCAACAUCAGUAAUGUUACAGUUGGUAACAACUCAGGAUCGAUUGGUUCAUUGAACCGUAUUAACAUCAGCUGAGGAAUUCACUGGUGAUAACAAAUGUUACAUUUUAUUCUUUGACAUCAGUAAAGAUGAAGAUUCUUCAGAUUAUGUAUCAAAUACAAAUGAAAAUAAAGUCAAUAUGCUGUGUUAAAAUGUCUUUGCUUUAUUUCUUUUCACUGAUUUGACUUUUGGCCCCUUGGUACCACUGGCCCCAGAUAGAUCAGCUCAGCUCACUAUCUAAGUUCAACUCCAACAAGGAUGUCAUUCUAUAAGAACCUCCAUCUAUUAACUGCUAAUUCAAAUCAGAGUGGCGGGGGGCUGGAGUGACCAAUUAAUCUGUGGGACACGGAGAGAACCCACAAACUCCACACAGAAAGGCCCCAGCUGGGGUUUGAAGAAAUGACAGCUAACUGCUGCGCCACCAUGCUGCCCUCUGUGAACAAACAUCUAACACACAUGGUUGAUACAUUCUUAAUGAACUAAAUGGCAUCUGAAUCUUGUGGCUUGUUUUUAAAACAGGCAUGUCAGAUUUUGAGCCCCUAGUGACAUCACUAAUAGACUAGAACCAGAACCAUAUUUAUCUCAGUGCUCCAUCUCACCUCAUGAUCUCAUGGUAGCCUGACACCAAACUCAGGUUCCGGGCGGAAUGAGCCAGCAGUUCAUUAGAGCAGACACUGAAACCUGCUGUCUGGGCACUGAGAGUUACAGACGGGGUACAGAGAGAGCUGCUGUGUUUGAUCCAUGGGGAAUUUUGACCAAAGAAUUUCACAGACAUGUCAUUAAGACACCUGAGAACUGUGUGAACUUGUGGAAUAAUAUAAUAAUAUGUCCCCUUUAAGUCCAAAUAUCUCAACACUAAUCAUGAUGUAUUGCUAUGCAAUGCUGACAUUCAUGAACCCGGAGGGUGAAGUUAACUGACUUGUGUGAUUCACUGACUUCCUGGAUGAGGGUUCCCAUCGUGGUUUUAUCUAUAAAUGUUAACAUGUACAAUCAUGGUUAACAUUACAACUACUAAAUAUCAGCAAUGUCACUGUGAACAUGUUAACAUGCUAAUGGUCGCAUUCAGCUCAAAUCGCCACUGUCAGCCGAACAGCCUGACAGAGCUGCUAAUAUGGCUGUAGCUUGUGGAAUAGAAUAGAAAAUGGUAUUUUUCUAAUAGGCCUAGACUUAUUGUAGAGUUGGAUACAUCAUGUUUAUUUAAGUAGUAGUAGGAUUAUUAGGAGGAUUAGGAGAACAUCAUACAUUUGAGACCUGUGAAUCACUGCCACCAUAUUCACGUAUUACAGAGAUUUGAAUAGAAUUAAAUUGAAUUAUAUUAAAUUAAUAAAAAAGUGAAAGGAAAUGACAGCGUCAUUAUCAGACUAGCCAAUUGGUGUAUUAUGACUGAGUGGCAGCAAGGUGGGGCUAUAUCCAAAUCUAUGGACAGAGCUGUGAUUGGUGCUCUGAAGCUAUUGAAUAGAACAGAAUAGAAUAGAAUAGAUAUUUUAAGUUUUUACAUAUGUUUCACCCGAAAUAUAACCACACACACAUAAAGGGCUCAUUGACAUGCAAAUGUGCAGUGAUGGGCAGCGGCGCCCUGGGAGCAGUUAGGCUGUCGGGACCUUGCUCAAGAGUGCCCAGGAGGUGAAGUGGCACCUACAACUCCACCCUCCAUACUGGACUUGAACCAGCCACCCUCUGAUUCCCAAGCCAAGUCUCUACAGCCUCUCUAUCUUGACUGAGCUACUGCUGCCCAAUGAUCUAGUAGUCUAAAGAACGUAAUAUUGUCUCACUCUGUUGAUCUGUUGUUCUCCUGAUUAAAACUAAAAUUGGCAUGCUGUUUCCAAAAUUGCGUCAAGUUUUUUCUCCUCAGUUUACCCUCCAGAUAAGCAAAAUUCUACUGAUCAGCUGUAGUAAGACUUGCCAGCUGAUUACGAUUGGACUCAUCUACAGCUACGUGGCAACUUGUUUGUUCAGUCACAAUUGCGACAGUGCGGUGAGAUGUGUGUGCAGCUCCCAAUAGGUCAGUACUAUCAACAUCUGCACACAGAAAGCUGGCAUAGUAGAAUGAAGAGGAUUUGCGCUGGCUUUUCUCUUAACCU
This is a long non-coding RNA of Larimichthys crocea (large yellow croaker), 4621 nucleotides long. RefSeq lists it as uncharacterized. Lineage: Eukaryota; Metazoa; Chordata; Actinopteri; Sciaenidae. The transcript has 4 exons. The record is from RefSeq and is a predicted model, not a curated record.